CAGCCAUAUUAAAUUGAAACACUGGUUCUUAUACAAUUACCAAAGUUAAGCAAUGUCAAGCCUGGUCAGUACCUAGAUGGGUGACAGCUUGCGAAUCCCAGGUGCUGUAAG
Molecule: non-coding RNA, 111 nt
Organism: Acanthosepion pharaonis
Lineage: Eukaryota; Metazoa; Mollusca; Cephalopoda; Sepiida; Sepiidae
Source: the annotation of a GenBank genome assembly